Molecule: ribosomal RNA, 1339 nt
Filed under: Psychrobacter pulmonis
Lineage: Bacteria; Pseudomonadati; Pseudomonadota; Gammaproteobacteria; Moraxellales; Moraxellaceae
Description: 16S ribosomal RNA
Rfam family: Bacterial small subunit ribosomal RNA
Source: RNAcentral
GACGGGUGAGUAAUACUUAUGAAUCUACCUAGUAGUGGGGGAUAGCUCGGGGAAACUCGAAUUAAUACCGCAUACGACCUACGGGAGAAAGGGGGCAACUUGUUGCUCUCGCUAUUAGAUGAGCCUAAGUCGGAUUAGCUAGAUGGUGGGGUAAAGGCCUACCAUGGCGACGAUCUGUAGCUGGUCUGAGAGGAUGAUCAGCCACACCGGGACUGAGACACGGCCCGGACUCCUACGGGAGGCAGCAGUGGGGAAUAUUGGACAAUGGGGGCAACCCUGAUCCAGCCAUGCCGCGUGUGUGAAGAAGGCCUUUUGGUUGUAAAGCACUUUAAGCAGUGAAGAAGACUCCAUGGUUAAUACCCAUGGACGAUGACAUUAGCUGCAGAAUAAGCACCGGCUAACUCUGUGCCAGCAGCCGCGGUAAUACAGAGGGUGCAAGCGUUAAUCGGAAUUACUGGGCGUAAAGCGAGCGUAGGUGGCUUGAUAAGUCAGAUGUGAAAGCCCCGGGCUUAACCUGGGAACGGCAUCUGAUACUGUUAGGCUAGAGUAGGUGAGAGGAAGGUAGAAUUCCAGGUGUAGCGGUGAAAUGCGUAGAGAUCUGGAGGAAUACCGAUGGCGAAAGGCAGCCUUCUGGCAUCAUACUGACACUGAGGUUCGAAAGCGUGGGUAGCAAACAGGAUUAGAUACCCUGGUAGUCCACGCCGUAAACGAUGUCUACUAGUCGUUGGGUCCCUUGAGGACUUAGUGACGCAGCUAACGCAAUAAGUAGACCGCCUGGGGAGUACGGCCGCAAGGUUAAAACUCAAAUGAAUUGACGGGGGCCCGCACAAGCGGUGGAGCAUGUGGUUUAAUUCGAUGCAACGCGAAGAACCUUACCUGGUCUUGACAUAUCUAGAAUCCUGCAGAGAUGCGGGAGUGCCUUCGGGAAUUAGAAUACAGGUGCUGCAUGGCUGUCGUCAGCUCGUGUCGUGAGAUGUUGGGUUAAGUCCCGCAACGAGCGCAACCCUUGUCCUUAGUUACCAGCGGUUUGGCCGGGAACUCUAAGGAUACUGCCAGUGACAAACUGGAGGAAGGCGGGGACGACGUCAAGUCAUCAUGGCCCUUACGACCAGGGCUACACACGUGCUACAAUGGUAGGUACAGAGGGCAGCUACACAGCGAUGUGAUGCGAAUCUCAAAAAGCCUAUCGUAGUCCAGAUUGGAGUCUGCAACUCGACUCCAUGAAGUAGGAAUCGCUAGUAAUCGCGGAUCAGAAUGCCGCGGUGAAUACGUUCCCGGGCCUUGUACACACCGCCCGUCACACCAUAGGGAGUUGAUUGCACCAGAAGUGGAUAGCUUA